RNAcentral lists this ribosomal RNA (253 nucleotides) under uncultured microorganism. Its description in RNAcentral is "partial 16S ribosomal RNA". It matches the Rfam family "Bacterial small subunit ribosomal RNA", at positions 524 to 776 of the family's 1533-position model. The record is from RNAcentral.
UACGGAGGGUGCGAGCGUUAAUCGGAAUUACUGGGCGUAAAGCGUGCGCAGGCGGUUUGUUAAGCGAGAUGUGAAAGCCCCGGGCUCAACCUGGGAACCGCAUUUCGAACUGGCAAACUAGAGUCUUGUAGAGGGGGGUAGAAUUUCCAGUGUAGCGAUGAAAUGCGUAGAUAUUGGAAGGAAUACCGGUGGCGAAGGCGGCCACCUGGGCCUGUACUGACGCUCAUGCACGAAAGCGUGGGGAGCAAACAGG